Molecule: ribosomal RNA, 301 nt
Filed under: uncultured bacterium
Lineage: Bacteria
Description: partial 16S ribosomal RNA
Rfam family: Bacterial small subunit ribosomal RNA
Source: RNAcentral
CAGUAGCCGCGGGAAUACGAAGGGUGCAAGCGUUACUCGGAAUUACUGGGCGUAAAGCGUGCGUAGGCGGUGAGUUAAGUCUGCUGUGAAAUCCCCGGGCUCAACCUGGGAAUGGCAAUGGAUACUGGCAAGCUAGAGUGUGUCAGAGGAUGGUGGAAUUCCCGGUGUAACGGUGAAAUGCGUAGAGAUCGGGAGGAACAUCAGUGGCGAAGGCGGCCCCCUGGACAAAGACUGACGCUCAGGUGCGAAAGCGUGGGGAGCAAACAGGAUUAGAUACCCCAGUAGUCCCUGUCUCUUAUAC